Long non-coding RNA from Passer domesticus (house sparrow), 298 nucleotides. RefSeq lists it as uncharacterized. The record is from RefSeq and is a predicted model, not a curated record. Lineage: Eukaryota; Metazoa; Chordata; Aves; Passeriformes; Passeridae. The transcript is spliced from 2 exons.
UUGUUGGGAUGCAAAAGGCAACCAUUGCAACAUUUCUCCAUGGAAGUCAACUUCCCACCAAAGAGAGAAGCAGCGAGCGUGUUACCUUGGCUAGGAAGACAGCAGCAUCCAACACAGCUUUGAUGUGACGCAGCCAUCCAGAAUUCUCCAGACCAGACAAAAAGUCAUUGACAGACAAACCCCUUGUGCCACUGACUGAAAGAAACCAAGAGUUAAAAAGCCUUAAAUGGUUGGAGCUACCUACACACUGCAAUAGAAGAAAGAAGGUUGUAUCUAAUCCCCUAUGCUCUAAGUUGAA